RNAcentral lists this ribosomal RNA (1473 nucleotides) under uncultured bacterium. RNAcentral's name for it is "bacterial SSU rRNA". It matches the Rfam family "Bacterial small subunit ribosomal RNA". The record is from RNAcentral.
CUUGGUUUGAUCAUGGCUCAGGAUGAANGCUAGCUACAGGCUUAACACAUGCAAGUCGAGGGGCAGCAUGGUCUUAGCUUGCUAAGGCCGAUGGCGACCGGCGCACGGGUGAGUAACACGUAUCCAACCUGCCGUCUACUCUUGGACAGCCUUCUGAAAGGAAGAUUAAUACAAGAUGGCAUCAUGAGUCCGCAUGUUCACAUGAUUAAAGGUAUUCCGGUAGACGAUGGGGAUGCGUUCCAUUAGAUAGUAGGCGGGGUAACGGCCCACCUAGUCUUCGAUGGAUAGGGGUUCUGAGAGGAAGGUCCCCCACACCGGAACUGAGACACGGUCCAAACUCCUACGGGAGGCAGCAGUGAGGAAUAUUGGUCAAUGGGCGAGAGCCUGAACCAGCCAAGUAGCGUGAAGGAUGACUGCCCUAUGGGUUGUAAACUUCUUUUAUAAAGGAAUAAAGUCGGGUAUGCAUACCCGUUUGCAUGUACUUUAUGAAUAAGGAUCGGCUAACUCCGUGCCAGCAGCCGCGGUAAUACGGAGGAUCCGAGCGUUAUCCGGAUUUAUUGGGUUUAAAGGGAGCGUAGAUGGAUGUUUAAGUCAGUUGUGAAAGUUUGCGGCUCAACCGUAAAAUUGCAGUUGAUACUGGACAUCUUGAGUGCAGUUGAGGCAGGCGGAAUUCGUGGUGUAGCGGUGAAAUGCUUAGAUAUCACGAAGAACUCCGAUUGCGAAGGCAGCCUGCUAAGCUGCAACUGACAUUGAGGCUCGAAAGUGUGGGUAUCAAACAGGAUUAGAUACCCUGGUAGUCCACACGGUAAACGAUGAAUACUCGCUGUUUGCGAUAUACAGCAAGCGGCCAAGCGAAAGCGUUAAGUAUUCCACCUGGGGAGUACGCCGGCAACGGUGAAACUCAAAGGAAUUGACGGGGGCCCGCACAAGCGGAGGAACAUGUGGUUUAAUUCGAUGAUACGCGAGGAACCUUACCCGGGCUUAAAUUGCAGAUGAAUUACGGUGAAAGCCGUAAGCCGCAAGGCAUCUGUGAAGGUGCUGCAUGGUUGUCGUCAGCUCGUGCCGUGAGGUGUCGGCUUAAGUGCCAUAACGAGCGCAACCCUUGUUGUCAGUUACUAACAGGUUCUGCUGAGGACUCUGACAAGACUGCCAUCGUAAGAUGUGAGGAAGGUGGGGAUGACGUCAAAUCAGCACGGCCCUUACGUCCGGGGCUACACACGUGUUACAAUGGGGGGUACAGAGGGCCGCUACCACGCGAGUGGAUGCCAAUCCCAAAAACCUCUCUCAGUUCGGACUGGAGUCUGCAACCCGACUCCACGAAGCUGGAUUCGCUAGUAAUCGCGCAUCAGCCACGGCGCGGUGAAUACGUUCCCGGGCCUUGUACACACCGCCCGUCAAGCCAUGGGAGCCGGGGGUACCUGAAGUGCGUAACCGCGAGGAGCGCCCUAGGGUAAAACUGGUGACUGGGGCUAA